Molecule: ribosomal RNA, 432 nt
Filed under: uncultured bacterium
Lineage: Bacteria
Description: partial 16S ribosomal RNA
Rfam family: Bacterial small subunit ribosomal RNA
Source: RNAcentral
ACGCACGCUGGCGGCAGGCCUAACACCUGCAAGUCGAGCGAGCAUUUCGGUGCUAGCGGCGGACGGGUGAGUAACGCGUGGGAACGUGCCCUUUUCUGCGGAAUAGUCCUGGGAAACUGGGGGUAAUACCGCAUACGCCCUUUUGGGGAAAGAUUUAUCGGAGAAGGAUCGGCCCGCGUUGGAUUAGGUAGUUGGUGGGGUAAUGGCCCACCAAGCCGACGAUCCAUAGCUGGUUUGAGAGGAUGAUCAGCCACACUGGGACUGAGACACGGCCCAGACUCCUACGGGAGGCAGCAGUGGGGAAUCUUAGACAAUGGGGGCAACCCUGAUCUAGCCAUGCCGCGUGAGUGAUGAAGGCCUUAGGGUUGUAAAGCUCUUUCAGCUGGGAAGAUAAUGACGGUACCAGCAGAAGAAGCCCCGGCUAACUCCGUG